Molecule: long non-coding RNA, 202 nt
Filed under: Elaeis guineensis (African oil palm)
Lineage: Eukaryota; Viridiplantae; Streptophyta; Magnoliopsida; Arecales; Arecaceae
Description: long non-coding RNA (EGUI_LNC078673)
Source: RNAcentral
CUUCUUUUAUUCUUCUCUUACUUUUCUUUCCUUGAUUAUGCUGCUAUCAUAGACUAGAAACCAGCACACAAGGGGAUGCCCAAAGCCUUGGGACGUGGAGGAAGAAGGGACAUCCAAAGGGGUGGGGUGUUUGGAUGUCCACGAGAGAAGAGAGGGAGAGAGGGAGAGAGGAAGAGAGGGUGUGAGGCUCUCCUUGGUGGGC